GAUGAACGCUGGCGGCGUGCAUAACACAUUCAAGUCGAACGGAGUUAUUUCCUUCGGGAGAUAACUUAGUGGCGGACGGGUGAGUAACGCGUGAGCAACCUGCCUUGCAUUGGGGGAUAACGACCGGAAACAGUCGCUAAUACCGCAUAAUGUAUCUGAUUCGCAUGUUUUGGAUACCAAAGAUUUAUCGAUGCAAGAUGGGCUCGCGUCCGAUUAGGCAGUUGGUGGGGUAACGGCCCACCAAACCGACGAUCGGUAGCCGAACUGAGAGGUUGAACGGCCACAUUGGAACUGAGAUACGGUCCAG
Molecule: ribosomal RNA, 307 nt
Filed under: uncultured bacterium
Lineage: Bacteria
Description: bacterial SSU rRNA
Rfam family: Bacterial small subunit ribosomal RNA
Source: RNAcentral